Molecule: ribosomal RNA, 1130 nt
Filed under: human gut metagenome
Description: bacterial LSU rRNA
Rfam family: Bacterial large subunit ribosomal RNA
Source: RNAcentral
CAAUCGAACCCGGAGAUAGCUGGUUCUCCCCGAAAUAGCUUUAGGGCUAGCGUCGGAGGAAGGCAUCUGGAGGUAGAGCACUGAAUGUACGAUGGCGCCAUCCCGGUGUACUGAGUAUAAUCAAACUGCGAAUGCCAGAUGAUGAUAUCCGGCAGUCAGACUGUGGGUGAUAAGGUCCAUGGUCGAGAGGGAAACAGCCCAGACCGCCAGUUAAGGUCCCAAAAUGUAUGCUAAGUGGAAAAGGAUGUGGGGAUGCACAGACAACUAGGAGGUUGGCUCAGAAGCAGCCACCCUUCAAAGAGUGCGUAACAGCUCACUAGUCGAGUGACCCUGCGCCGAAAAUGUACCGGGGCUAAGCAUACUACCGAAACUGCGGAUUCGAGUGAUCGAGUGGUAGGGGAGCGUUGCAUGCACGAGGAAGCCGUACCGGAAGGAACGGUGGAGAGCAUGGAAGUGAGAAUGCCGGUGUGAGUAGCGAGAUGCAGGUGAGAAUCCUGCACACCGAAAGCCCAAGGAUUCCAGGGGAAGGUUCGUCCGCCCUGGGUAAGUCGGGACCUAACGCGAGGCCGAAAGGCGUAGUGGAUGGAAAACAGGCAGAUAUUCCUGUACCCGUAUGAGGAGCGAAGGAGUGACGGAGAAGGCUAGUGUGACCCUAUGAAUGGAUUUAGGGCGAAGCGGAGCAGCAGGUGCAUAGUGAAAUGCGUGCACAGGAUGCAGGACGUGACAGGUAAGCGAACGUUUCGACAAGUAGCGAAGCACAUGAGGCCAGCUUCCAAGAAAAGCUUCUAGCGAUAAUCUUCAUGCGGCCCGUACCAAAACCGACACAGGUGGGCAAGGAGAGUAUCCUAAGGUGAGCGAGAGAACUGUUGCCAAGGAACUCGGCAAAAAGACUCCGUAAGUUCGCGAGAAGGAGUGCUCUUGAGAGAGAGCCGCAGCGAAGAGGCCCAAGCGACUGUUUAACUAAAACACAGCUCUCUGCGAAGUCGCAAGACGAAGUAUAGGGGGUGACGCCUGCCCGGUGCCGGAAGGUUAAGGGGAGUUGUCAGCGAAAGCGAAGCAAUGAACCGAAGCCCCGGUGAACGGCGGCCGUAACUAUAACGGUCCUAAGGUAGCGAAAUUCCUUGUCAGGU